UUUUAAAAAGUUACUAUUUCUACUAUUAAAAAUUGGUAUAGUUGACAGAAUAACUAAACAGUGACACAUGAUGUGCCACGUGUAUCUCAUACUGACAUACAAAACUAGUUUUUAAUAGUAAAAAUGGCUGAAACUUUUAAUA
This is a non-coding RNA of Gossypium hirsutum (cotton), 142 nucleotides long. The record is from Rfam. Lineage: Eukaryota; Viridiplantae; Streptophyta; Magnoliopsida; Malvales; Malvaceae.